RNAcentral lists this ribosomal RNA (1864 nucleotides) under Patescibacteria group bacterium. RNAcentral's name for it is "bacterial SSU rRNA". It matches the Rfam family "Bacterial small subunit ribosomal RNA". The record is from RNAcentral.
CUUUUCGAGAGUUUGAUCCUGGCUCAGGAUGAACGCUGGCGGCGUGUCUAAGGCAUGCAAGUCGUAUGCCGGAUAUCGGAUAUCGGAUAUCAGAAAUCGGAUUUCAGAUUAUGCGUAUAAAACGCAAAUUUGAUAUCCGAAAUCUGACAUCUGACAUCUGAUAUCUGGCAUGGCAAACGGGAGAGUAACACAUUGGUAACCUACCCUGAAGAGGGGCAUAAUCCGCUGAAAAGCGGGCUAAUUCCCUAUGUGAUUUAAUAAUACUUUUGUUAAAUUAAACCUGUUCAGCUUUUUAAAUAUUAACUAUUUUUUAUUAAAGAGUUAACGUGUUAACGAGUUUUUGAAAAAAUUAACUCGUUAAUAAAUAACCCGUUAAUAAAAUAAUAAUUUAAUAUUCAAAAAGUUGAACAGGGCUUCAGGAGGGGCCUAUGGCCUAUCAGCUUGUUGGUGAGGUAAAAGCUCACCAAGGCUUCGACGGGUAGCGGGUGUGAGAGCAUGACCCGUCUCACUGGGACUGAGACACUGCCCAGACUCCUACGGGAGGCUGCAGUCAAGAAUCUUCCUCAAUGGCCGAAAGGCUGAAGGAGCGACGCCGCGUGAUCGAAGAAGCCCUUCGGGGUGUAAAGAUCUUUUGUUAGGGAAUAAGCCCCUCCCCAGUUUUUGCAACUGUAGUUGCAAAAACUGGGGAGGGGUUGAAGGUACCUAGCGAAUAAGGGGCUGCUAAACUCGUGCCAGCAGCAGCGGUAAUACGAGUGCCCCGAGCGUUAUCCGAAUUUAUUGGGCGUAAAGCGUCCGCAGGCGGUUUAUCACAUCUUCUGUUAAAUCUUCCCGCUUAACGGGAAAACCGCGGAAGAGAUGGAUAAACUAGAGACUGGGAGAGGUAAGCGGAAUUGCUGGUGUAGGGGUUAAAUCCGUUAAUAUCAGCAGGAACACCAAAUGCGAAGGCAGCUUACUGGAACAGUUCUGACGCUCAUGGACGAAAGCGUGGGGAGAGAAUGGGAUUAGAUACCCCAGUAUUCCACGCCGUAAACGAUGGAUGCUAAACAUUGGAAGUUAUCGACCCUUUCAGUGUUGCUUAUCUAAGGUAACCCGUUAAGCAUCCCGCCUGGGGAGUACGAGCGCAAGCUUAAAACUCAAAGGAAUAGACGGGGACCCGCACAAGCGGUGGAGCAUGUGGUUUAAUUUGAUAGUAAGCAAGGAACCUCACCAAGGCUUGACAUCUAGCUGCAUACCCUGGAAACAGGGAGUCCUUCGAGGGCGCUAGACAGGUGCUGCAUGGUUGUCGUCAGCUCGUGUCGUGAGAUGUACCGUUAAGUCGGAAAACGAGCGCAACCCCUAUUGUAAGUUUUAUAUGUCUUACAAAACUGCCUGCUUUAAGCAGGAGGAAGGUGGGGAUGACGUCAAAUCAGCAUGGUUUUUACGCCUUGGGCGACACACGUGCUACAAUGGAAAAUACAAUGGGACGCCAAACCGCAAGGUGGAGCAAAUCCUUUAAAAUUUUUCUCAGUUCGGAUUGGGGUCUGCAACUCGACCCCAUGAAGCUGGAAUCGCUAGUAAUCACGGAUCAGCCACGCCGUGGUGAAUACGUUACCGGGUCUUGUACUCACCGCCCGACAAGUCAAGGGAGUUGGCAGUACCCGAAGAUCGGAUUUCAGAUUUCGGAUUUCGGAUCUCGGAUUUCAGAUAUCAGAUUUUAGAUAUCAGAUUUGCGUUAUAUGUGCAUAAUCUGAAAUCUGACAUCCGACAUCUGACAUCUGACAUCCGACAUCCGACAUCCGAUAUCCGAUCUAAGGUAAGGCCGGCAACAAGGACUAAGUCGUAACAAGGCAUCCGUAGCGGAAGCUGUGGAUGAAUCACUUCCUUU